Molecule: ribosomal RNA, 253 nt
Filed under: uncultured bacterium
Lineage: Bacteria
Description: partial 16S ribosomal RNA
Rfam family: Bacterial small subunit ribosomal RNA
Source: RNAcentral
UACGUAUGGUGCAAGCGUUAUCCGGAUUUACUGGGCGUAAAGGGAGCGCAGGCGGUGCGCCAAGUCUGAUGUGAAACCCCGGGGCUCAACCCCGGGCAUGCAUUGGAAGCUGGCGGGCUGGAGUGCCGGAGAGGUAAGCGGAAUUCCUAGUGUAGCGGUGAAAUGCGUAGAUAUUAGGAGGAACACCAGUGGCGAAGGCGGCUUACUGGACGGCAACUGACGCUGAGGCUCGAAAGCGUGGGGAGCAAACAGG